UUGGAGAGUUAGAUCUUGGCUCAGAUUGAACGCUGGCGGCAGGCCUAACACAUGCAAGUCGAACGGUAGCGGGAAGAAGCUUGCUUCUUUGCCGACGAGUGGCGGACAGGUGAGUAAUGUCUGGGAAACUGCCCGAUGGAGGGGGAUAACUACUGGAAACGGUAGCUAAUACCGCAUAACGUCUACGGACCAAAGUGGGGGACCUUCGGGCCUUACACCAUCGGAUGUGCCCAGAUGGGAUUAGCUAGUAGGUGGGGUAACGGCUCACCUAGGCGACGAUCCCUAGCUGGUCUGAGAGGAUGACCAGCCACACUGGAACUGAGACACGGUCCAGACUCCUACGGGAGGCAGCAGUGGGGAAUAUUGCACAAUGGGCGCAAGCCUGAUGCAGCCAUGCCGCGUGUAUGAAGAAGGCCUUCGGGUUGUAAAGUACUUUCAGCGGGGAGGAAGGGUGAGAGGUUAAUAACCUCUUGCAUUGACGUUACCCGCAGAAGAAGCACCGGCUAACUCCGUGCCAGCAGCCGCGGUAAUACGGAGGGUGCAAGUGUUAAUCGGAAUUACUGGGCGUAAAGCGCACGCAGGCGGUCUGUCAAGUCGGAUGUGAAAUCCCCGGGCUCAACCCGGGAACUGCAUUCGAAACUGGCAGACUGGAGUCUUGUAGAGGGGGGUAGAAUUCCAGGUGUAGCGGUGAAAUGCGUAGAGAUCUGGAGGAAUACCGGUGGCGAAGGCGGCCCCCUGGACAAAGACUGACGCUCAGGUGCGAAAGCGUGGGGGGCAAACAGGAUUAGAUACCCUGGUAGUCCACGCCGUAAACGAUGUCGACUUGGAGGCUGUUCCCUUGAGGAGUGGCUUCCGGAGCUAACGCGUUAAGUCGACCGCCUGGGGAGUACGGCCGCAAGGUUAAAACUCAAAUGAAUUGACGGGGGCCCGCACAAGCGGUGGAGCAUGUGGUUUAAUUCGAUGCAACGCGAAGAACCUUACCUGGCCUUGACAUCCACGGAAUUCUGCAGAGAUGCGGAAGNNCNUUCGGGACCCGUGAGACAGGUGCUGCAUGGCUGUCGUCAGCUCGUGUUGUGAAAUGUUGGGUUAAGUCCCGCAACGAGCGCAACCCUUAUCCUUUGUUGCCAGCGAUUCGGUCGGGAACUCAAAGGAGACUGCCGGUGAUAAACCGGAGGAAGGUGGGGAUGACGUCAAGUCAUCAUGGCCCUUACGGCCAGGGCUACACACGUGCUACAAUGGCGCAUACAAAGAGAAGCGACCUCGCGAGAGCAAGCGGACCUCAUAAAGUGCGUCGUAGUCCGGAUCGGAGUCUGCAACUCGACUCCGUGAAGUCGGAAUCGCUAGUAAUCGUAGAUCAGAAUGCUACGGUGAAUACGUUCCCGGGCCUUGUACACACCGCCCGUCACACCAUGGGAGUGGGUUGCAAAAGAAGUAGGUAGCUUAACCUUCGGGAGGGCGCUUACCACUUUGUGAUUCAUGACUGGGGUGAAGUCGUAACAAGGUAACCGUAGGGGAACCUGCGGUUGGAUCACCUCCUUACCUGAAGAUACCUUCCGGCGCAGUGUCCACACAGAUUGUCUGAUAGAAGUCACGAGCAAAGAACACCAGAGUCCCCAUCGUCUAGAGGCCCAGGACACUGCCCUUUCACGGCUGUAACAGGGGUUCGAAUCCCCUUGGGGACGCCAUACCGGUAACGAAGUGAAAGACGUUAUCAACCGUAUCUCAAAACUGAUUCCAUCUUAACGGUGAGUCACGUUUGAGAUAUUUGCUCUUUAAUAAUCCGGAACAAGCUGAAAAUUGAAACGACGUGUCGUGUUCAUUCUCCGUAAUAAGAAUGAAGUAAACGAUGCGUUCGAGUCUCUCAAAUGCUUACAAUCGACACACGUCUUUCGGGACGCUUGUGGGUUGUGAGGUUAAGCGACUAAGCGUACACGGUGGAUGA
RNAcentral lists this small RNA (1942 nucleotides) under Erwinia uzenensis. Its description in RNAcentral is "bacterial SSU rRNA". The stretch from base 1 to 1539 matches the Rfam family "Bacterial small subunit ribosomal RNA". The record is from RNAcentral. Lineage: Bacteria; Pseudomonadati; Pseudomonadota; Gammaproteobacteria; Enterobacterales; Erwiniaceae.